Molecule: ribosomal RNA, 647 nt
Filed under: Salmonella enterica subsp. enterica serovar Paratyphi A
Lineage: Bacteria; Pseudomonadati; Pseudomonadota; Gammaproteobacteria; Enterobacterales; Enterobacteriaceae
Also listed under: 1 other name
Description: partial 16S ribosomal RNA
Rfam family: Bacterial small subunit ribosomal RNA
Source: RNAcentral
AAAUUGAAGAGUUUGAUCAUGGCUCAGAUUGAACGCUGGCGGCAGGCCUAACACAUGCAAGUCGAACGGUAACAGGAAGCAGCUUGCUGCUUUGCUGACGAGUGGCGGACGGGUGAGUAAUGUCUGGGAAACUGCCUGAUGGAGGGGGAUAACUACUGGAAACGGUGGCUAAUACCGCAUAACGUCGCAAGACCAAAGAGGGGGACCUUCGGGCCUCUUGCCAUCAGAUGUGCCCAGAUGGGAUUAGCUUGUUGGUGAGGUAACGGCUCACCAAGGCGACGAUCCCUAGCUGGUCUGAGAGGAUGACCAGCCACACUGGAACUGAGACACGGUCCAGACUCCUACGGGAGGCAGCAGUGGGGAAUAUUGCACAAUGGGCGCAAGCCUGAUGCAGCCAUGCCGCGUGUAUGAAGAAGGCCUUCGGGUUGUAAAGUACUUUCAGCGGGGAGGAAGGUGUUGUGGUUAAUAACCGCAGCAAUUGACGUUACCCGCAGAAGAAGCACCGGCUAACUCCGUGCCAGCAGCCGCGGUAAUACGGAGGGUGCAAGCGUUAAUCGGAAUUACUGGGCGUAAAGCGCACGCAGGCGGUCUGUCAAGUCGGAUGUGAAAUCCCCGGGCUCAACCUGGGAACUGCAUUCGAAACUGGC